AACGAACGCUGGCGGCAUGCCUAACACAUGCAAGUCGAACGAGACCUUCGGGUCUAGUGGCGCACGGGUGCGUAACGCGUGGGAACCUGCCCUUAGGUUCGGAAUAACUCCCCGAAAGGGGUGCUAAUACCGGAUAAUGUCUUCGGACCAAAGAUUUAUCGCCUUUGGAUGGGCCCGCGUUGGAUUAGCUAGUUGGUAGGGUAAAAGCCUACCAAGGCGACGAUCCAUAGCUGGUCUGAGAGGAUGAUCAGCCACACUGGGACUGAGACACGGCCCAGACUCCUACGGGAGGCAGCAGUGGGGAAUAGUGGACCAUGGGCGAAAGCCUGAUCCAGCGAUGCCGCGUGAGUGAUGAAGGCCUUAGGGUUGUAAAGCUCUUUUACCCGGGAUGAUAAUGACAGUACCGGGAGAAUAAGCUCCGGCUAACUCCG
RNAcentral lists this ribosomal RNA (431 nucleotides) under uncultured bacterium. Its description in RNAcentral is "partial 16S ribosomal RNA". It matches the Rfam family "Bacterial small subunit ribosomal RNA", at positions 29 to 505 of the family's 1533-position model. The record is from RNAcentral.